RNAcentral lists this ribosomal RNA (482 nucleotides) under uncultured bacterium. RNAcentral's name for it is "partial 16S ribosomal RNA". It matches the Rfam family "Bacterial small subunit ribosomal RNA", at positions 30 to 507 of the family's 1533-position model. The record is from RNAcentral.
AUUGAACGCUGGCGGCAUGCUUUACACAUGCAAGUCGAACGGUAACAGGCCGCAAGGUGCUGACGAGUGGCGAACGGGUGAGUAAUGCAUCGGAACGUGCCCAGUCGUGGGGGAUAACUACUCGAAAGAGUAGCUAAUACCGCAUACGAUCUAUGGAUGAAAGCGGGGGACCGUAAGGCCUCGCGCGAUUGGAGCGGCCGAUGUCAGAUUAGGUAGUUGGUGGGGUAAAGGCUCACCAAGCCAACGAUCUGUAGCUGGUCUGAGAGGACAACCAGCCACACUGGGACUGAGACACGGCCCAGACUCCUACGGGAGGCAGCAGUGGGGAAUUUUGGACAAUGGGCGCAAGCCUGAUCCAGCAAUGCCGCGUGCAGGAAGAAGGCCUUCAGGUUGUAAACUGCUUUUGUACGGAACGAAACGGCUCUGGUUAAUACCCGGGGCUAAUGACGGUACCGUAAGAAUAAGCACCGGCUAACUACGUG